GUCCAUGCCGUAAACGUUGGGCACUAGGUGUGGGGACAUUCCACGUUUCCGCGCCGUAGCUAACGCAUUAAGUGCCCCGCCUGGGGAGUACGGCCGCAAGGCUAAAACUCAAAGGAAUUGACGGGGCCCGCACAAGCGGCGGAGCAUGCGGAUUAAUUCGAUGCAACGCGAAGAACCUUACCAAGGCUUGACAUGAACCGGAAACGCCUGGAAACAGGUGCCCCGCUUGCGGUCGGUUUACAGGUGGUGCAUGGUUGUCGU
This 261-nucleotide ribosomal RNA is filed under the name uncultured bacterium. Its description in RNAcentral is "partial 16S ribosomal RNA". It matches the Rfam family "Bacterial small subunit ribosomal RNA", at positions 793 to 1055 of the family's 1533-position model. The record is from RNAcentral.